AUGCCUGAUGGGAUGCACCUGAGUGGCCUGAUGGGCCUCACCUGGGCCUCCCAUCCACAUACCCUCUGCCCAUUGGCCUGGGAGUUUUCAUCACAUCCCACACCUGGUCCUUUGCUUGGUGUGUUAGGGUCACUUCUCUUCAGCCCUGUCCUGUGGAAGGAUCUCGGACUGAGGAACGCUGAUGGGCCCUUCUCUGGUAACACUGUUUGGAUGUUGGGAGACUGCUCUAGUUGGAGCUGCUCUAACAGCCUUGUUUCCCACUGGUCCCAUUGGAGCCUAAUCCCAGCUCUACUGCUGCUCUGCGGUCAGCCAGGACCCAGUUCUCCGGACGGCCAUGUAUGGACUGCCUGGGUAAGGUUGGUCGUGGGAUCCCUGGAGUGCAAUACUUUGCUUCCAGAGCUGCUUUGCAGGCCAUUUAGGAAGAAGUGA
RNAcentral lists this long non-coding RNA (429 nucleotides) under Anser cygnoides (Swan goose). Its description in RNAcentral is "lncRNA (ENSACDG00005006280.1)". The record is from RNAcentral. Lineage: Eukaryota; Metazoa; Chordata; Aves; Anseriformes; Anatidae.